Odocoileus virginianus texanus is the source of this 1868-nucleotide long non-coding RNA. RefSeq lists it as uncharacterized. The record is from RefSeq and is a predicted model, not a curated record. NCBI's taxonomy places the organism in Eukaryota, Metazoa, Chordata, Mammalia, Artiodactyla, Cervidae.
CUGAGCCAUCCCAUAGGUGUCCCUAAGAUACAACCCUCGAUAUGGUUCCUUGAGGACUGUCUUGGCCACCUUCCUGCUGGCUGCCUCCUCGGGCUGCAGCAGUUUCUGGCUUCGCAGGGCUCCCGCUUCCCCUCAGCCUGGUGACAGCACCGCCAGUCAUGACUCCUGCAGUCCCGGCUGAAGCCUUCUCCAGCUCCAUCUCAGCUCUCACGAGGAGGAGCUGGUGAGGGCUCGCCCAGGGCAAGAGCCAGAAUUCACUUACUCUCCAAAUCUUAAUACAUGGCUAUGAAAACUUGCUUCUAUUGGUCUAUAAUUUUCUAGUCACAAUCUCAAGAUCCAGAAAGCUCUGUAAAGCGAAAGCUGAGUAUAAUCCUUGCAUGGAGGGAUGCAUGUCUUUAAGGGUAAGGCCCCAGCUACAUACUGGUAAGAAAGUGGCCAAGUCUCCUAGUUCAAUUCCAGGCUGUUUAUAAUGUCCUUCUCUAAACAUGGUCAAACUCAAUGGGCUGGACUCUAGGAAUUAACUAUACCUCUAGGGUACUUCUCUAGCGGUCCAGUGGGCAAGACUCUGUGCUCCCAAUGCACAGGGCCCAGGUUCGAUUCCUGGUCAGGGAACUAGACCUCACGUGCCUCAACUAAAGACCCCACACGCCCCAGUGAAGAUCAAGGAGCCCUCGAGCCUCAAAUAAGACCUGGUCAGCCAAAUAGAUAAAUAAAUAUUUAAGAAAAAUAAUAAGUAUACUUCCAUUCAAUGGUGAACUAGUAAAUGUUUAACGCAUGGCUCUCAGGAAAAGAAAAAGUCCUGAUACGUAGCAUUUGCCAAGGUCCACAGCAACAGACUGACUUCAAGCUAGCAGCGGGCAGAGCUGGGCACACAGGUCCUCCUGCCCACUGUGGGUGGUCUCCUGAACCCAUCCCAUCAUGCCACAUCCUGCCUCUCUGAGACCACGUCUAGACGUCCUGGUGGGAGCUGUGGGCUGUUCCCAGACUUCUUAGCAGCACAUUUACCAGUUCAUAGCAGGCAACAGAAGGCAAUUAUUCUGGAGUUAGCACUUUGGCUCGCUUGCUUGAAGGAAUGAAUGAAUGAACCAAAAUGGCACCUCUGUGCUCAUUUCCCUGUUGUGUGAGACGUGAAAUGUAAACAGUGACAUCUGCUCAAGAGGAACUGGUGAAUCUGAUCACCCCUGGGACCUCAAGUGGAUUCUUUACCGCUGAGCCACCCAGGAUGCCCUCUGUUAUGUACAUCCAACAACAAUUUUAUAAAAGGAAUUGUUGGUAUGGUAUUCAGCUAAGCAUAGACUGGUCAGGUGCCUCGUCAUCUGGCAUCAUUACCCUUAAAGGAAAGUGGACGUGGCCUGUUCUUCACUCCAGCAAUCACAUGAAGGUGGGUUCUUUACCACUAGCACCACCUGGGAAGCCCAUUGGAGGAGUAGAAACCAACUUUAAGGCCUUGACUCGACUCCAGGGGCAGACUAGAUUGGACUAGAAGGAAUCCCAGUGGCCUCGCCAGUGAUCCACUUUGGGCUGAGCUGACUCACCUGAUUUAACACCUUGCAACCCUCUAUGUGCACCUAUGUGAAGCUAAGCCCACAGCCAAGGGUGCAGGAACCAUGGGGUCUUCUGGAUGCACCUUUAUGUCCUGGCUCUGCGCUCUGUGUGGUUUGGGGCCACAGAUACAUCCGUUUUCUCAUCCAUAAAAUGGAACUCACUUCACAGAACAAUGGUAAGGAUAAACUCAUGCAAAGACCUUGGCACAAACUAAGUGCUCACAUAGUGAAAGACAUUAAGGUACUGGAUCUGGCCCUUAAAAGGAUGACUCAGUGUAUUCAAAGCCUCAUUCCAUGGAUUACAGAGUCAAAGUCUUUCUCAAA